ACGGAAGGCAGCAGUGAGGAAUAUUGGUCAAUGGUCGGAAGACUGAACUAGCCAAGUCGCGUGAAGGAAUACGGCCCUACGGGUCUUAAACUUCUUUUAUAGGGGGAUAAAGUGAGCCACGAGUGGCUUUUUGUAGGUACCCUAUGAAUAAGCAUCGGCUAACUCCGUGCCAGCAGCCGCGGUAAUACGGAGGAUGCGAGCGUUAUCCGGAUUUAUUGGGUUUAAAGGGUGCGCGGGCGGCACGUUAAGUCAGCGGUGAAAUGUCGGGGCUCAACCCGGGCACUGCCGUUGAAACUGGCGAGCUUGAGUACGGAUGAGGUCGGCGGAAUGUGAUGUGUAGCGGUGAAAUGCUUAGAUAUGUCGCAGAACACCGAUUGCGAAGGCAGCUGACUAAUGCGCAACUGACGCUGAGGCACGAAAGCGUGGGGAUCGAACAGGAUUAGAUACCCUGGUA
This 454-nucleotide ribosomal RNA is filed under the name uncultured bacterium. Its description in RNAcentral is "partial 16S ribosomal RNA". It matches the Rfam family "Bacterial small subunit ribosomal RNA", at positions 341 to 792 of the family's 1533-position model. The record is from RNAcentral.